UACGUAGGGUCGAGCGUUGUCCGGAAUUACUGGGCGUAAAGAGCUCGUAGGUGGUUUGUCGCGUUGUUCGUGAAAACUCACAGCUUAACUGUGGGCGUGCGGGCGAUACGGGCAGACUUGAGUACUGCAGGGGAGACUGGAAUUCCUGGUGUAGCGGUGGAAUGCGCAGAUAUCAGGAGGAACACCGGUGGCGAAGGCGGGUCUCUGGGCAGUAACUGACGCUGAGGAGCGAAAGCGUGGGGAGCGAACAGG
This 252-nucleotide ribosomal RNA is filed under the name uncultured bacterium. RNAcentral's name for it is "partial 16S ribosomal RNA". It matches the Rfam family "Bacterial small subunit ribosomal RNA", at positions 524 to 776 of the family's 1533-position model. The record is from RNAcentral.